UCCUUCGUAGCUCAAUGGCAGAGCGUCCCGCUGUUAACGGGGUGGUUGGUGGUUCGAGUCCAUCCGUGGGAGC
Molecule: transfer RNA, 73 nt
Filed under: Mycobacterium phage Baudelaire
Lineage: Duplodnaviria; Heunggongvirae; Uroviricota; Caudoviricetes; Vilmaviridae
Also listed under: 1 other name
Description: tRNA-Asn
Rfam family: tRNA
About the family: Transfer RNA (tRNA) molecules are approximately 80 nucleotides in length. Their secondary structure includes four short double-helical elements and three loops (D, anti-codon, and T loops).
Source: RNAcentral